GGGAGUUUGUUUUCAGAAUGAAUAUUGAUGUCACUGAUAGGCUUUUGAACGAUCUGGUGGGAACCAAAGCAGUCAUCAUGACAGGUCGCCAGGUGGCGCGAGUGAGCAAAAGCGCCGCUCAACAACCAGAAGAGUCUCGCGAGUGAGUCGGAGUCAGGCGUGCGGGUGGAGAUGAAUCAAGUGCAGGUCCGGCAAGAUGGCCACGGCGCGCGUCUUUUUCUCAGAUUGGAGCACUGGAGGGACGCAGCAGCAGCGUUUGAGGUUUGAGCGCAACACGCCACAACAAUCCACUUCCGUUUGCUUGAUUGAGUCAUUCACUCACUGACUGACUGACGUGUGCGCACGGUGGCUUCGGGUCGCGCCGCGCGGGCUGGA
Hippocampus comes (tiger tail seahorse) is the source of this 375-nucleotide long non-coding RNA. RefSeq lists it as uncharacterized. The record is from RefSeq and is a predicted model, not a curated record. NCBI's taxonomy places the organism in Eukaryota, Metazoa, Chordata, Actinopteri, Syngnathiformes, Syngnathidae. The transcript has 3 exons.